UACAUGCGCGUCUCAAUGCAGUCGUACGCUUCUUUUUCCACCGGAGCUUGCUCCACCGGAAAAAGAAGAGUGGCGAACGGGUGAGUAACACGUGGGUAACCUGCCCAUCAGAAGGGGAUAACACUUGGAAACAGGUGCUAAUACCGUAUAACAAUCGAAACCGCAUGGUUUUGAUUUGAAAGGCGCUUUCGGGUGUCGCUGAUGGAUGGACCCGCGGUGCAUUAGCUAGUUGGUGAGGUAACGGCUCACCAAGGCCACGAUGCAUAGCCGACCUGAGAGGGUGAUCGGCCACAUUGGGACUGAGACACGGCCCAAACUCCUACGGGAGGCAGCAGUAGGGAAUCUUCGGCAAUGGACGAAAGUCUGACCGAGCAACGCCGCGUGAGUGAAGAAGGUUUUCGGAUCGUAAAACUCUGUUGUUAGAGAAGAACAAGGAUGAGAGUAACUGUUCAUCCCUUGACGGUAUCUAACCAGAAAGCCACGGCUAACUACGUGCCAGCAGCCGCGGUAAUACGUAGGUGGCAAGCGUUGUCCGGAUUUAUUGGGCGUAAAGCGAGCGCAGGCGGUUUCUUAAGUCUGAUGUGAAAGCCCCCGGCUCAACCGGGGAGGGUCAUUGGAAACUGGGAGACUUGAGUGCAGAAGAGGAGAGUGGAAUUCCAUGUGUAGCGGUGAAAUGCGUAGAUAUAUGGAGGAACACCAGUGGCGAAGGCGGCUCUCUGGUCUGUAACUGACGCUGAGGCUCGAAAGCGUGGGGAGCAAACAGGAUUAGAUACCCUGGUAGUCCACGCCGUAAACGAUGAGUGCUAAGUGUUGGAGGGUUUCCGCCCUUCAGUGCUGCAGCUAACGUAUUAAGCACUCCGCCUGGGAGAGUACGACCGCAAGGUUGAAACUCAAAAGGAAUUGACGGGCGCCCGCACAAGCGGUGGAGCAUGUGAUUUAUUCGAGCAGCGUCGAAGACCUUACCAGGUCUGACAUCGUUAGACCACUCUAGAGAUAGAGCUCCCCUUCGGGGGCAAGUGAAGUGUCAUGAUCGUCGACGCUCGAGUCUGAAUGUCCUAAGUCGACGAGGCACUAUGCAUGCAUUCAGUGCCUGCAGACUGCGUGACACCGA
Molecule: ribosomal RNA, 1111 nt
Filed under: Enterococcus faecium
Lineage: Bacteria; Bacillati; Bacillota; Bacilli; Lactobacillales; Enterococcaceae
Description: bacterial SSU rRNA
Rfam family: Bacterial small subunit ribosomal RNA
Source: RNAcentral